GCUCACUUGGUGAAAUAGGUAAACACGGCAGAUUCAAAACCUGCUCCUUUUUGGGUAUCGGUUCAAGUCCGAUAGUGAGCACC
Molecule: transfer RNA, 83 nt
Filed under: Botryococcus braunii
Lineage: Eukaryota; Viridiplantae; Chlorophyta; Trebouxiophyceae
Description: tRNA-Leu
Rfam family: tRNA
About the family: Transfer RNA (tRNA) molecules are approximately 80 nucleotides in length. Their secondary structure includes four short double-helical elements and three loops (D, anti-codon, and T loops).
Source: RNAcentral